CUGGGACCAUGUUUCAAAAUAAAUUAUGUGUUAAAGAGAGUGGUUUUUGUAAAUGUUACAUGGUGAGCCUUGGGCCUAAGCGCUUAAAAGGUGAGGGUUUUUUUUUUUUUUUAACAAGAUGUAGUAUAAACAGACCAUUUUGGGGGCUUUAGAGUUGAUUUAGGCUGGUUCCAGUACAUUUUGGAUGUUUAAGAGUUGUUUAUAGUGGAAUUUGUAGAUUUUGGCAGGAAUUUGGCCGGUGUGCUACAAGGUGGUAUGGCGAGCACCUUGUGUACCUUUGACUGCUAGGGUUUCCACUUACGGAAGCAUUGAUUGUUUAAGUUAAUUGGUAUGACUUUGGGGAAACAAAACUAUUAGCCCUCAAUUGAGUAUUCAUGUCUACACCUUCAAUACUUGCAACUUUCACAUAAAAUUUGUUCUUAAAUAACCGACGAGGAAAAGAAAUAGUUGGAAAUUAGAGUAGCAUAUUAAAGUGCAUGAUACUUGCAUUAUUAGUCUAAUUUAGGGGUGCAAACGACUCGGCUCGAGCUCGAGCUCGGCUGUUAGUUAUUUUUUCAAGCUCGAGCUCGGUUUGGACUCGGCUCGUUUAUUAUUUAUUAAUUAAUUCAUAUUCAUUAUAAUUAUUGGUUUAAAUAUAAUUUAGUUUUUUUUUCAAAUUUUUAAAAUUAGUUAUUAAUUUAUUAUUAUUUUAAUAUAUAUUUAAUAUAUUGAUUAAAAAAUUAUGUAAACAGUGGGCUCAUUUAGGCUCGUGAGCCGACUUGAGCUCGAUAAGCUCGGGCUCGGGCUCGUUUAUUUAACAAACUUGUUUUUAGGCUUGGGCUUGAGCUCCUUUAAGCUAGGCUUAUUUUGAGUUUUCUUUGGAGCCAAGCUCGUCUCAUUUGCACUCCUAUAGUUGCAUCUUGGUAGUUCAAACGUACAUAGUCUUUUUAAUCUUUUAUCAUUAACCCCAUAAAGAUGGAUGCCUGUAAUCUUUCAUAGUUGUGAAAAUAUGGUAUUUAGUGUCUGUGUUCAGAUAUGUUUUCCAUGGAGUUGCUAGCCAUAAAACAUAUAGAUUUGGUCUUCAUACAUGAAUGCUUUUACAUAUAGAUUUGGUCUUCAUACAUGGCCGUUUUUGCGUAUAGAUUUGGUCUUCGCUGAUGUUGUUGCUACUGAGCUCAAAACAAAACUCUUCAGCAAAUCAGGGUCUUUCUUUGUCAAAAGAAGUAAGUUCGAUGACCAGGUCGAGUCCUCAAACAAUAACAAAUAAGUGGUCUCACCAAGUUGGUAUUGUUCUUGCAGUUGAUGUGGCUGUUUGUUUGAUACUAUUUAUUGUUUGGCUUGUGGUGUGUCGUGGAACCGAGUGUAUUCGUUAAGAUGGGAUUCAUCAUUGAAUGGAUCAGAGAAACGUGUCUUUGUUCUUUGAAUUCCGUUGAGAUAGUAUAUGGAAGCUGCACGUGAUUCCGGAGUGAUGAUAUGGAGACUGAACAAAAGGUUGUAGACAUACUGCCACCCGCAAGCCAGAACGAAACUUUGACUCAGUUGAUUGGUCAACCUGCCUAAACUUGAGCAACUUUCUGCAGAAGAAAUAUCAGCAGCUGCUUGUGAUGAUAAACCAAAUCGUUUGGCAGUGGGCCGCCUUUCUAACGACAUGUGCAAGAUAAUCGAGGAAAACACUGUUGAUUCAGUAGAAACAUAUAUUACCAACAAACCUGCGAGUUUCAAGCUGAAAAAGAACCUUCAGCCACUAGAAUCAAUACAUCAACCAUCUCACCCGUAAUUAAAACCGAGAAGAGCAAUGGUGACGUCGCGACUUCAAGUCCACAUCAGCAUGAACCGGGUCCAGUCAACGGGACUGCGACUGCUGAUGUGUACGAGGAAUAUAAACUAACAGUUACAUCAUACUUUCCAAAUUGUGUGUAUGAGGAUCUUACUCUCAUAUCUGAUGACUGUAAAAUUACAUCCAUCACUAAGUUGUCACUUUUAGCCCAUAUAAGACAAUUAUUGCAUUGUGUUCUUUUGACCUACAAUUAUGGUACCGUUGUAAGAUGCAACAGAAGUCAUGUUGUGAGGUAUAUGUUGACCAAUUUGUAUCUCGUCGAACCCGAAUUCGCUUGCUUUACAAGAACAGUUGUUGCCGGUUAUACGAGGGUUAAUUGGGUCGCUAGAAAA
This is a long non-coding RNA of Helianthus annuus (common sunflower), 2148 nucleotides long. RefSeq lists it as uncharacterized. The record is from RefSeq and is a predicted model, not a curated record. Lineage: Eukaryota; Viridiplantae; Streptophyta; Magnoliopsida; Asterales; Asteraceae. The transcript has 4 exons.